AUUGAACGCUGGCGGCAGGCCUAACACAUGCAAGUCGAGCGGAUGAAGGGAGCUUGCUCCUGGAUUCAGCGGCGGACGGGUGAGUAAUGCCUAGGAAUCUGCCUGGUAGUGGGGGAUAACGUCCGGAAACGGGCGCUAAUACCGCAUACGUCCUGAGGGAGAAAGUGGGGGAUCUUCGGACCUCACGCUAUCAGAUGAGCCUAGGUCGGAUUAGCUAGUUGGUGGGGUAAAGGCCUACCAAGGCGACGAUCCGUAACUGGUCUGAGAGGAUGAUCAGUCACACUGGAAAUGAGACACGGUCCAGACUCCUACGGGAGGCAGCAGAGGGGAAUAUUGGACAAUGGGCGAAAGCCUGAUCCAGCCAUGCCGCGUGUGUGAAGAAGGUCUUCGGAUUGUAAAGCACUUUAAGUUGGGAGGAAGGGCAGUAAGUUAAUACCUUGCUGUUUUGACGUUACCAACAGAAUAAGCACCGGCUAACUUCGUG
RNAcentral lists this ribosomal RNA (484 nucleotides) under uncultured bacterium. RNAcentral describes it as "partial 16S ribosomal RNA". It matches the Rfam family "Bacterial small subunit ribosomal RNA", at positions 30 to 507 of the family's 1533-position model. The record is from RNAcentral.